AAUCUUCGUAAUCUAUAAAUCUGAAGGUUUUCUUUUGCAAUCUUCAGUUAUAAACAACACAACUCUUUCUCUCUUCUCUGCUAACUCACCCAAUCUUCUUCAUGGCAAGUGAAAUUACUAGCGAGGCAGCAGUAGCAUCUUCUUCCCUUCCACUCAAUGGUCGGGUAGCUAUAGUAACUGGAGGUUCGCGUGGAAUUGGACGUGCUAUUUCCACUCACCUUCACUCCCUAGGUGCAAGAGUUGUGAUCAAUUAUGCUUCAAGUUCCACCCAAGCUGAUCUCCUUGCAUCUGAGCUCAAUGCCUCAGCUGCAUCAGCUUCUCGUCCACAAGCGGUUGCUAUCAGAGCUGAUGUUUCAGACCCAUAUCAAGUCAAGCAACUCUUUGACAGAGCCGAGCAAGAAUUUGGCUCAAAAAUCCAUAUCCUCGUAAACUGUGCUGGAAUUAUGGAUCCAAAGUACCCCACUUUGGCCAAAACAACAGUGGAGGACUGGGAUAUGACUUUCAAUGUCAACGCCAAGGGUGCAUUCCUGUGUUGUCGCGAGGCAGCUAAUAGGUUGGCUCGGGAAGUUGGUGGAAGAAUCAUAACAAUAACAACAUCUAUCGUUGGAUCAAAUCUUCCAGGAUAUGCAGCUUAUGCUGCCUCCAAGGCAGCAGUGGAGACAAUGACAAAGAUUCUAGCCAAGGAGCUGAAGGGUACAGGAAUAACUGCUAAUAGUGUUGCUCCAGGACCUGUGGCUACAGAGCUGUUUUUUUCAGGUAAAACUGAGGAAACAGUGAAGAGAAUGGCUGACUCUUGCCCUUUAGGCCGACUUGGUGAGCCUAAGGAUGUAAGUCAAGUUGUGGGAUUCUUGGCUAGUGAUGCAGGGCAGUGGAUCAAUGGACAAGUCAUUAGGGUUAAUGGGGGAUCCGUUAUCUAAAUGUUAUGUGUGUCUACUUAUCUGAGACUUGUACUUUCCUUUUAUAUGUUCUUGAAUUUGUUUACCUCUGCCACUAUUUGUACCUUUUUUUUUAAUUUACCCGUCUAAUUUACUUGUUGAAAUCAAAAGAGUACUAGAAUCGAA
This 1061-nucleotide unclassified non-coding RNA is filed under the name Hevea brasiliensis (rubber tree). The record is from RNAcentral. Lineage: Eukaryota; Viridiplantae; Streptophyta; Magnoliopsida; Malpighiales; Euphorbiaceae.